Molecule: ribosomal RNA, 245 nt
Filed under: uncultured bacterium
Lineage: Bacteria
Description: partial 16S ribosomal RNA
Rfam family: Bacterial small subunit ribosomal RNA
Source: RNAcentral
AUGGCGACCGGCGCACGGGUGAGUAACACGUAUCCAACCUGCCGAUAACUCGGAGAUAGCCUUUCGAAAGAAAGAUUAAUACCCGAUGGUAUAAUCAGACCGCAUGGUUUGAUUAUUAAAGAAUUUCGGUUAUCGAUGGGGAUGCGUUCCAUUAGGCAGUUGGUGAGGUAACGGCUCACCAAACCUUCGAUGGAUAGGGGUUCUGAGAGGAAGGUCCCCCACAUUGGAACUGAGACACGGUCCAA